RNAcentral lists this ribosomal RNA (253 nucleotides) under uncultured bacterium. RNAcentral's name for it is "partial 16S ribosomal RNA". It matches the Rfam family "Bacterial small subunit ribosomal RNA", at positions 524 to 776 of the family's 1533-position model. The record is from RNAcentral.
UACAGAGGGGGCAAGCGUUGUUCGGAAUUACUGGGCGUAAAGGGCGCGUAGGCGGCCUGUUAAGUCGAACGUGAAAUCCCCGGGCUCAACCCGGGAACUGCGUCCGAUACUGGCAGGCUUGAAUCCGGGAGAGGGACGCGGAAUUCCAGGUGUAGCGGUGAAAUGCGUAGAUAUCUGGAGGAACACCGGUGGCGAAGGCGGCAUCCUGGACCGGCAUUGCCGCUGAGGCGCGAAAGCCAGGGGAGCAAACGGG